ACUCAAAUGAAUUGACGGGGGCCCGCACAAGCGGUGGAGUAUGUGGUUUAAUUCGAAGCAACGCGCAGAACCUUACCAGCCCUUGACAUAUGGAUUAAGGAGAUGAGAGAUCAUUUCUGUCGGUUCGGCCGGAUCCAAUACAGGUGCUGCAUGGCUGUCGUCAGCUCGUGUCGUGAGAUGUUGGGUUAAGUCCCGCAACGAGCGCAACCCUCAUUGCUAGUUGCUAACAGGUUUGGCUGAGCACUCUAGCGAAACUGCCGGUGACAAACCGGAGGAAGGUGGGGAUGACGUCAAGUCCUCAUGGCCCUUAUGGGCUGGGCUACACACGUACUACAAUGGUGGUGACAGAAGGUUGCGAAGGGGUGACUCGGAGCCAAUCCUCAAAAGCCAUCUCAGUUCGGAUUGUUCUCUGCAACUCGAGAACAUGAAGUCGGAAUCGCUAGUAAUCGUAGAUCAGCAUGCUACGGUGAAUACGUUCACGGGCCUUGUACACACCGCCCGU
Molecule: ribosomal RNA, 502 nt
Filed under: uncultured bacterium
Lineage: Bacteria
Description: partial 16S ribosomal RNA
Rfam family: Bacterial small subunit ribosomal RNA
Source: RNAcentral